CAACAGUGUAGUUUCACAUUAUUCAUAUUCUUCAACGUUUGAUCGUUUGUCUUAUUUGAAAACUUUUUAUGAUUAAUAUUUUUGUUGUUAUUAGAUGACGAAAUAUAAAUAGUAUUUUAUGUGUGACUAAAUUUUUUUAAUUUUUUUUAAAAAAUUUUAAAUAAGACGGACAGUCAAACAUUGAUCAUAGAUAUUUAUGGCUACACUUAUU
Molecule: non-coding RNA, 211 nt
Organism: Oryza meridionalis
Lineage: Eukaryota; Viridiplantae; Streptophyta; Magnoliopsida; Poales; Poaceae
Source: Rfam